GACGAACGCUGGCGGCGUGCUUAACACAUGCAAGUCGAACGGAAAGGCCCUGCUUUUGUGGGGUGCUCGAGUGGCGAACGGGUGAGUAACACGUGAGUAACCUGCCCUUGACUUUGGGAUAACUUCAGGAAACUGGGGCUAAUACCGGAUAGGAGCUCCUGCUGCAUGGUGGGGGUUGGAAAGUUUCGGCGGUUGGGGAUGGACUCGCGGCUUAUCAGCUUGUUGGUGGGGUAGUGGCUUACCAAGGCUUUGACGGGUAGCCGGCCUGAGAGGGUGACCGGCCACAUUGGGACUGAGAUACGGCCCAGACUCCUACGGGAGGCAGCAGUGGGGAAUAUUGCACAAUGGGCGGAAGCCUGAUGCAGCAACGCCGCGUGCGGGAUGAAGGCCUCGGGUUGUAAACCGCUUUCGCCUGUGACGAAGCGUGAGUGACGGUAAUGGGUAAAGAAGCACCGGCUAACUACGUG
This 467-nucleotide ribosomal RNA is filed under the name uncultured bacterium. RNAcentral describes it as "partial 16S ribosomal RNA". It matches the Rfam family "Bacterial small subunit ribosomal RNA", at positions 28 to 507 of the family's 1533-position model. The record is from RNAcentral.